This 5574-nucleotide long non-coding RNA is filed under the name Homo sapiens (human). Its description in RNAcentral is "HSALNT0191893". The record is from RNAcentral. Lineage: Eukaryota; Metazoa; Chordata; Mammalia; Primates; Hominidae.
CAGCCAGUGAGUUCUUUCAAGGUUAUUUUCUGGAUACUCUGGAGAUGAGUAUCUCCAAGGCCUCAUCUCAUAGACCAAAGUUGCUAUUUUCAAUCAGUGUAAUGAGACAACACAUUUUAAAAUUCAUAUUAGCUUAUGAUUCAAUGCUUCCUUUAUUUCUGGUUAACAUAAAUGGUUAUAUUCCUAAUCAUAUUUCAAUCUUCAAAAAAAUUAUGAAAUCACGUGAAAUAAAAUCCAACUUCGAUAACUGAAAAUAGUUAUUAAUUGAAUUUCACCAUAUGCCAGCCACUUUGCUUAGCACUUUAUCUAAUGUAAUCCUUUACACUUUAUGAAGAAAAAAUUAUUUUCCAUAGUCUGCCUAUAAAGAAACUGAGGCCGAAAGUUAAAUGACUUCCCAAAAGUAACAUAGCCAGUAGGGAGAGGUGCCUGGUAGCAAAGCCCAUGUUCUCAAUUUUUCUCUUCUAUGCUAAAGUGAGAAAAUACCUGGAUGGGGUUAAUAUUUUCUAGUCUUUUCUUGUCUGAAAGUAGACUGCUAUGCCUUUCACCAAAAAAAAAAAAAAAAAAGGCUGUCUUGAAGAAACCAAGGACACUAGUCAUAUAAUCUACUCUUCCAAAAAUAUUUGUACUUUCUCACAAAUUAUCCAAAAAUUCAACAAGAAAUUAUCCUUCAUUUUCAUAACAUGUUGAAGCCUUAUUUUACCAAAGAAAAAACUGAAAAUAAUAAAUUCAUGAACUCAGAUGUUUAUUAUUUUUAUUCUAUACUAUGUAUUUACUCUUUUCUCCCUGAGAUCCCAAAUUUAGUCAGCACAGGACUGUCACAUUGUUACAGACAACAGGACAGGUGGUAAUUAAGUUUGAAGGAGAAAACAAGACCAUAUAAAUACUAGAAGAAAAUACAAGGUCAUACCUUUAUAGUGCUGGAGGAGAGAAGGCCUUUCAAAUUAUGACCUCAAAUCCAGAAUUCAUUAAAAGUUUUAUAAAUUCAACUUCAUCAACAGAUAUAGACAAGACAUACAAAACUUUUGUAUUAUUUAAAACACUAUAAUCCAAAGCAAAUUACAAAACUCUCAAAUCAUGUACAUCACAGAGAGAAUAUAUGGAAGCUCCUUAAAACUAAGUAGUAGAAAACCGGCACCCAACAGAAAAAUGGACAAAUAUGAACCUGAUGUUUAUAAGUUAAAAGAAAAAAAAAAACAGAUGUCCCUUAAAUAUAUGAAAGCAUAGUCAAUGUCUCUCAAAAUAAAUCUGAUUUUGGGAUCAGAACAAAGGAAUAACAAACCCAAAACUACACCAAGAUAUAAUUUUUAACCUAUAAUAUACAUGACAAGAACGUAAAAUUUACAACUCUAUUGGCAAGUUUGUGAAAAAAAAUAACUUCUCUAAUAUGUUGCUAUUGGGUGUAAAAUAGUGAGACCCUGUGGAGGCAACUUGAGAAUGACCAUUAAAAUAAAAAUGCCUUCACUGUUGAUUUAUUAGUCUCUACUUCUGAGAAUUUAUUCUGCUAAUUUACAUGCAUGUAUACAGUAUGAUAUAUGUAAAUGUGAAUUCAUUAUAAUACUUUCUUUAUAAUAGCAAUAGACUGAGAAAACAACAACAAACAUCUAGCAUUAGGGGCAUAUUAUAUAAUUGACUAUCUUCCUAUUGAUACAUUUUUUUUCUGUUAUCACUUUUUUCUCAACAUAAUAUGCCCCAGCCUUGUUCUAGAAGGCAAAUCACAUAAACUGGCCUGUGAACACAUGGAAUUCUGGGACUAAGACCAGACAGAGUCACAAAUGGUUGCCUGGAAAAUAUCAGAACAGAACUCACACAAGCUCCCUGCUCUCAGGAGAAUCUGGCACAGCACCAUCACCAACUCAGAGGGAGGGAAGCAACCUUGAGUCAGCUCCCAGGCAGUAAUGAGUGUUCAAGGGAGAUAUAACUCUAAGGAAAAGGAUUGAGGUCAAGGAAUUAGAAGAAACAGAUGGAAGAAUCAUUUGAACCAUAUCCAGGUCUUUUGAAAAUGAUGAGACAGAAGAGAAAGCGAAAAUUGCUUCAGACAGUUUUGCUGAGAAAUUUGUCUCAGAUAAAUUUUGGAGUAAGGUCAGAGACCUAAGAUAAGAAAACCCCUAGGCAGAGGUGGGAAAAAAUAGAAAAAAGAAAACGAAAAGAGCAAAUACAUUCUUCCUUCCUAUCUUCCACUUGCCAGAGUAGCUUUACUAAGAUGCUGCCUGAUCAUUUCUCUCCAGACACUUUUGCCAAUGAUAUUAAUACUAUAAAGGAGCAUUUCUGGACUUGAUUCAUUAAUGAUUAGAAAGCUCGUAACAGAUUAGAUGACCAGGCUACAGUCUCACCUGCCAGGCAGUGCAGCUGCAGAUCUUGGCUGACCAUCAUGUCAGCACCUACUAUGUGCCAGUCACUGUGCCAGGAGUUGGAAAUAUGAGGAAGACCGUAAUUCUCAUAAUGAGAAUACAAGGAAGACCAUCUCUCAAGAAAGGAACAUCAUAAAACAUGUUUACUGUCAAGUCCUUGUCAUUAUCAAAAAUAUCUCCAGAUUGAUGUCAUUCUGAGAAAAGUGAUUUCAUACUGAAAAAAAUUCUACAAAAAUAGUAAAACUCUUCUUCUCAAUUUUCAGAACUUGGAUGGGGUUGGGGGCAGGUGCUUUCAUCUAUUUUCAUCUUGUCCUGGUAGAAAUUAUUUGCUUGAUUAACAUUUUGGUGGAGAAGUUCAGUCUCUAAGGCUACAGAUGAGAAGAUCAGUUACUGGAUGGGUUCCUAACUUCAAUGUCAAAUCCAAGAGCCUGAAAAUAAAGGAUGGAAAGAAAGGGAAACAAAGAAAAGUUAUCAGACAAUGUGAAGACAUUUUAUGGAGAGGAAGAAAGAGUGAGUGAGCACAGGAAAAAUCACAAAGCAGUAUAUGAAGAAAAGAAAGAGAUAACAGUUAUUAGUAAGUAAAGAGAUAAUUAAGAGAUAAUCCUUUCAGUGGCAUGAACACCAUAGUUUGUGACAUCACUGGUCAUUAAUGAUUUGUGAGAAGCAGUGUCUCAACUAUGUUUCUGUUACAUUAAUUAUACCCAAAAUAAAAUAUUUGCACACCUAUUGUUCCACAGUUAUUCCUAUAUUAUUUCAUGAAAAAGUUAAUAAUGAAUAAUUACUGAAUACUUAGUAGGUCCAUUCAACAUGCUAAAUGGUUUAUUUACAUUAACUAUUUUUAAUAUGCAAACUCCAUAAGAUAUAUGCUACUAUUAGGCCAAUUUAUAGAUACCAAAAUUGUAUACCAUAGGACUUAAUCACAUUUCUUUUCAUCUGUCCUCCUUCUCCUCCCUCGAUAGAAGCUUGACAUUAGUCUGAAGUUAAGUUACAGACAGUUUGCUGCGUAAUUUUGAGUAAUUCUCUAAGCCUUCAUUCUUCAUCCACAAAAUAGAUAGGACAAAAUAGAGUAUACGACAGCAUCGUUGUGAGGAUUAAAUGAAAUAAUUCACAUAAAAUCAUUUUAUUUAUAGCUGAAACAACAUAACACUCAAUAAGUGAAUUAAAAGAAUUAUCAUUAUUAUUUUAGAUGGCUGAUUGGAAAACAAUAUUAAGCAUCAGAAUUUUUUUUUUUUUUUGAGACAGAGUCUCGCUUUGUUGCCCAGGCUAGAGUUCAGUGGUGCGAUCUUGGCUCACUGCAACCUCCUCCUGCAGGGGUUCAAGCGAUUCUCCUGCCUCAGCCUCCUGAGUAGCUGGGAUUACAGGCACACACCACCAUGCCCGGCUAAUUUUUUCUUUGUAUUUUUAGUAGAGAUGGGGGUUUCACCAUGUUAGUCAGGCUGGUCUCGAACUCCUGACCUCGUGAUCCACCCGCCUCAGCCUCCCAAAGUGCUGGGAGGCAUGAGCCACUGCGCCCAGCCUAAACAUCAGAAUCUUAAGAGUGCUACUCAUGGUUAACUGGCAAAUAUUUUAUAAUACAUCAGGGUAGAUGCUGGCUUAAAAAUGAAAUGCUAGAGUUCCAGAUCAGAUUAUGGAUUUCUGAAAAAGCUUCUUUAAAAGCAUCUCAAAUAUUAGCCCAGAGCAAAUAGCACAGGAUUUAAUAUAAUUAAAUAGACACCCAUAAAUACUGCAAUGUUUGGCAUCACUGUAAAUGCCCAUAGGCCUCUCUGCACUGCUGCAUAUGCUGCUCAUGCCUGUGGGUUCUGAGAAGAGUUAUAAGUGACACAGUAGCAUCAUACCUUCUGCUAUAGUAUAAGAGGCCAAUAUAAUAUUACAUAUAUUAGAUAUAUAUAUAAUGGUUUUCAUGUAUGUAUAAGUAAUGAAUUAUUUUUGAUAUAUUAAACAAUCUCCCCCUUGUAAAUUCCCUCUUUUCCCUCUGCUCAGCUUCUGCUCUUCCCUCACAAACUUCCUCCCCUACUUCAUGUCACUGUGGUGUUCAGUACUCAGACAGUGGAAAGGAAAGCAACAUGGAAGCCAUUUAGCCUUUGAUUUGUAAAAGCACAGAAGCCAUUUACAGAAAGGGGGAGAAUUUUAAGCAUAAAGCAAACAUUUGAGAGAGUAGGUUGAAGAGACUCGGGAUGUUCCAGGAUUAGGAAUCACAAACAAAAAAAUAGAGGACUGGUGGAUCAGGGCUCACCUGGCCAGGUAGAUAGAAUAAGGCAUGUUUUUUAACAGAGACCUGUGUCGACAAAACAACUAGUCAACUUAAUGAGCGCCAGCACACUUAGGCAACAUGGAAGAUCACAUGCCUUUCCUCUACAGAGGUAGUAUAUAAGCUCCCAGAAUUUACCCAACAAUCUAGUGAAGUCCCAAAUUGUUAGUACAUUUCUAUCAUGUGAAUAGAAUGAAUGCUCAGAUUACAAAUUAAAUUUGCAUAUAAAAUACAAUGUGAUUUUCUCACACACCCAUGUCAGGUUCAUAUCCACACAUCCUAACUGACUGUAUUAUGCAUGUGCAUAUUUCUGUGUGUGUGUGUGUGUGUGUGUGUGUGUGUAAAACACAUAUAAAGACAUAUCAGUGUGGCCAUAAAGUUAUGCAUUUAAUUUCUAGGAAAUUCUACAGAGUAGAUACUGCAUAAAAAUUUCCCCUGGGAACAUAUAAAUGUCUCAAAGGCAGGAAUUCUGUUUUAUUCAUUUUUAUAUUAGCAGAGCCUGGCACAGCUCCUGAACUGAAUAAGUAUUUAUAAUAUCUGUUAAACUAGCAGUCAAUGUGCAUGUGUAAGAAAGCAGCAUCAUGAGAAAAUGUACUUUGAAGGACAUUAAUUUGGAAACCAUGAGUAAGACGCCUGGGUGGUUGAGCUAGGAGGCUAUUGAAACGUCAAGGAAAGGGUAUGAGGUUCUGAACUAGGAUGGUAGCCUUGGGAACAGGAAGGAGGGCAUGAAUGAGAUCACUAAGUGGUAAUUGAUGGAUUGUGGCAACAGUUUUCUAUUAUAGAACUAGAGCCCUUGUGGGGUUAAGCCUAGAAUGGUUUCUAUCCCUUGGCCAAAUGCUUAAGAGUAUAAAGUAAAUAUUAGCUAUCAGUGACAAUAGGAACUUGUAGAAACAGCUUUUUAGAAAGAAUGGUAUUCAAGAAGCUCAUCCAUUAAAAUUGAUUGCAUUUAAAUAGUCUAUCUAGUUAAAACACAAAAUA